CCUACGGGGGGCAGCAGUGGGGAAUAUUGGACAAUGGGCGAAAGCCUGAUCCAGCCAUGCCGCGUGUGUGAAGAAGGCCUUCGGGUUGUAAAGCACUUUCAGUGGGGAAGAAAGCCUUGGGGCUAAUACCCUCGAGGAAGGACAUCACCCACAGAAGAAGCACCGGCUAACUCCGUGCCAGCAGCCGCGGUAAUACGGAGGGUGCGAGCGUUAAUCGGAAUUACUGGGCGUAAAGCGCGCGUAGGCGGUCUGAUAAGCCGGUUGUGAAAGCCCCGGGCUCAACCUGGGAACGGCAUCCGGAACUGUCAGGCUAGAGUGCAGGAGAGGAAGGUAGAAUUCCCGGUGUAGCAGUGAAAUGCGUAGAGAUCGGGAGGAAUACCAGUGGCGAAGGCGGCCUUCUGGACUGACACUGACGCUGAGGUGCGAAAGCGUGGGUAGCAAACAGGAUUAGAUACCCUUGUAGUC
This 465-nucleotide ribosomal RNA is filed under the name Vreelandella stevensii. Its description in RNAcentral is "partial 16S ribosomal RNA". It matches the Rfam family "Bacterial small subunit ribosomal RNA", at positions 338 to 795 of the family's 1533-position model. Lineage: Bacteria; Pseudomonadati; Pseudomonadota; Gammaproteobacteria; Oceanospirillales; Halomonadaceae. The record is from RNAcentral.